AUAGCAUGUCAGAAGGCAGACCCGGAGAACUGAAACAUCUUAGUACCCGGAGGAAGAGAAAGAAAAAUCGAUUCCCUGAGUAGCGGCGAGCGAAACGGGAAGAGCCCAAACCAACAAGCUUGCUUGUUGGGGUUGUAGGACACUCUAUACGGAGUUACAAAAGAACAUGUUAGACGAAUCAUCUGGAAAGAUGAAUCAAAGAAGGUAAUAAUCCUGUAGUCGA
Molecule: ribosomal RNA, 223 nt
Filed under: Staphylococcus epidermidis
Lineage: Bacteria; Bacillati; Bacillota; Bacilli; Caryophanales; Staphylococcaceae
Description: partial 23S ribosomal RNA
Rfam family: Bacterial large subunit ribosomal RNA
Source: RNAcentral